Molecule: ribosomal RNA, 484 nt
Filed under: uncultured bacterium
Lineage: Bacteria
Description: partial 16S ribosomal RNA
Rfam family: Bacterial small subunit ribosomal RNA
Source: RNAcentral
AUUGAACGCUGGCGGCAUGCUUUACACAUGCAAGUCGAACGGCAGCGCGGGCUUCGGCCUGGCGGCGAGUGGCGAACGGGUGAGUAAUGCAUCGGAACGUGCCCAGUAGUGGGGGAUAGCCCGGCGAAAGCCGGAUUAAUACCGCAUACGACCUGAGGGUGAAAGCGGGGGACCGAAAGGCCUCGCGCUAUUGGAGCGGCCGAUGUCGGAUUAGCUAGUUGGUGGGGUAAAGGCUUACCAAGGCGACGAUCCGUAGCUGGUCUGAGAGGACGACCAGCCACACUGGGACUGAGACACGGCCCAGACUCCUACGGGAGGCAGCAGUGGGGAAUUUUGGACAAUGGGGGCAACCCUGAUCCAGCCAUGCCGCGUGCGGGAAGAAGGCCUUCGGGUUGUAAACCGCUUUUGUUCGAGAAGAAAUCCUCUGGGCUAAUACCCCGGGGGGAUGACGGUACCGGAAGAAUAAGCACCGGCUAACUACGUG